RNAcentral lists this ribosomal RNA (491 nucleotides) under uncultured bacterium. RNAcentral's name for it is "partial 16S ribosomal RNA". It matches the Rfam family "Bacterial small subunit ribosomal RNA", at positions 29 to 507 of the family's 1533-position model. The record is from RNAcentral.
GUGAACGCUGGCGGUAGGCCUAACACAUGCCAGUCGAACGGCAGCACAGUAAGCGCUUGCUCUUACGGGUGGCGAGUGGCGGACGGGUGAGGAAUACAUCGGAAUCUACUUUUUCGUGGGGGAUAACGUAGGGAAACUUACGCUAAUACCGCAUACGACCUACGGGUGAAAGCAGGGGAUCUUCGGACCUUGCGCGAUUGAAUGAGCCGAUGUCGGAUUAGCUAGUUGGCGGGGUAAAGGCCCACCAAGGCGACGAUCCGUAGCUGGUCUGAGAGGAUGAUCAGCCACACUGGAACUGAGACACGGUCCAGACUCCUACGGGAGGCAGCAGUGGGGAAUAUUGGACAAUGGGCGCAAGCCUGAUCCAGCCAUACCGCGUGGGUGAAGAAGGCCUUCGGGUUGUAAAGCCCUUUUGUUGGGAAAGAAAAGCGGCAGGUUAAUACCCCGCUGUUCUGACGGUACCCAAAGAAUAAGCACCGGCUAACUUCGUG